UUCUUGACCUUGCAAGUCCGAAAC
RNAcentral lists this non-coding RNA (24 nucleotides) under Nicotiana tabacum (common tobacco). Lineage: Eukaryota; Viridiplantae; Streptophyta; Magnoliopsida; Solanales; Solanaceae. The record is from RNAcentral.